RNAcentral lists this ribosomal RNA (383 nucleotides) under uncultured Marinobacter sp. Its description in RNAcentral is "bacterial SSU rRNA". It matches the Rfam family "Bacterial small subunit ribosomal RNA", at positions 962 to 1344 of the family's 1533-position model. Lineage: Bacteria; Pseudomonadati; Pseudomonadota; Gammaproteobacteria; Pseudomonadales; Marinobacteraceae. The record is from RNAcentral.
CGAAGAACCUUACCUGGCCUUGACAUCCAGAGAACUUUCCAGAGAUGGAUUGGUGCCUUCGGGAACUCUGAGACAGGUGCUGCAUGGCCGUCGUCAGCUCGUGUCGUGAGAUGUUGGGUUAAGUCCCGUAACGAGCGCAACCCCUAUCCCUGGUUGCUAGCAGGUAAUGCUGAGAACUCCAGGGAGACUGCCGGUGACAAACCGGAGGAAGGUGGGGAUGACGUCAGGUCAUCAUGGCCCUUACGGCCAGGGCUACACACGUGCUACAAUGGCGCAUACAGAGUGCUGCGAACUCGCGAGAGUAAGCGAAUCACUUAAAGUGCGUCGUAGUCCGGAUUGGAGUCUGCAACUCGACUCCAUGAAGUCGGAAUCGCUAGUAAUCG